Molecule: ribosomal RNA, 439 nt
Filed under: uncultured bacterium
Lineage: Bacteria
Description: partial 16S ribosomal RNA
Rfam family: Bacterial small subunit ribosomal RNA
Source: RNAcentral
CUACGGGGGGCUGCAGUGAGGAAUAUUGCACAAUGGGGGGAACCCUGAUGCAGCAACGCCGCGUGGAGGAUGACGCAUUUCGGUGUUUACCCUCCUUGUAUAUGUCAAGAAAAUGACGGUAGCAUAUGAAUAAGCACCGGCUAACUCCGUGCCAGCAGCCGCGGUAAUACGGAGGGUGCAAGCGUUACUCGGAAUCACUGGGCGUAAAGGACGCGUAGGCGGGUUGGAAAGUCAGGUGUGAAAUCCUACAGCUUAACUGUAGAACUGCACUUGAAACUUCUAAUCUAGAGUAUGGGAGGGGGAGAUGGAAUUAGUGGUGUAGGGGUAAAAUCCGUAGAUAUCACUAGGAAUACCUAAAGCGAAGGCGAUCUCCUGGAACAUUACUGACGCUAAGGCGUGAAAGCGUGGGGAGCAAACAGGAUUAGAUACCCCCGUAGUC